Molecule: ribosomal RNA, 1019 nt
Filed under: Microbispora rosea
Lineage: Bacteria; Bacillati; Actinomycetota; Actinomycetes; Streptosporangiales; Streptosporangiaceae
Description: bacterial LSU rRNA
Rfam family: Bacterial large subunit ribosomal RNA
Source: RNAcentral
GAUCCGGGGAUGUCCGAAUGGGGAAACCUAGCACCAGUCAUGUGGUGUUGCCUCCGUCUGAAUGUAUAGGGCGGUUGGUGGUAACGCGGGGAAGUGAAACAUCUCAGUACCCGUAGGAGAAGAAAACAAAUAGUGAUUCCGUGAGUAGUGGUGAGCGAAAGCGGAGGAGGCUAAACCGUGCGCGUGUGAUAGCCGGCGGGCGUUGCGUGUGCGGGGUUGUGGGACCUUCCGGGGGAGACCGCUGUCUCCUCGAACAGUGAGAAAUCGGUGGGGUAGUCGAACGCUCUGGGAAGGGCGGCCGUAGACCGUGAUAGCCGGGUAGGCGAAAUUCUGCCGACUGUUGGGAGUGUUCCCGAGUAGCACGGGGCUCGAGGAAUCCUGUGUGAAUCUGCCAGGACCACCUGGUAAGCCUAAAUACUUCCUGGUGACCGAUAGUGAACGAGUACCGUGAGGGAAAGGUGAAAAGCGCCCCGGUGAGGGGUCGUGAAAUAGUACCUGAAACCGUGUGCCUACAAGCCGUAGGAGCGUAAACAAGCUUGCUUGUUUGUGAUGUGACUGCGUGCCUUUUGAAGAAUGAGCCUGCGAGUUAUGGUGUGUGGCGAGGUUAACCCGUGUGGGGGAGCCGUAGCGAAAGCGAGUCUGAAUAGGGCGUUUUGAGUCGCAUGCUGUAGACCCGAAGCGGGGUGAUCUACGCAUGGGCAGGUUGAAGCGUGGGUAAGACUGCGUGGAGGACCGAACCCACCAGGGUUGAAAACCUGGGGGAUGACCUGUGUGUAGGGGUGAAAGGCCAAUCAAACUCCGUGAUAGCUGGUUCUCCCCGAAAUGCAUUUAGGUGCAGCGUUGCGUGUUGCUUGCCGGAGGUAGGGCUCUGGAUGGCUGAUGGGCCCGACAAGGUUACUGACGUCAGCCAAACUUCGAAUGCCGGUAAGUUGAGCGUGGCAGUGAGACUGCGGGGGAUAAGCUCCGUGGUCGAGAGGGAAACAGCCCAGAUCACCGACUAAGGCCCCUAAGCGUGUGCU